UACGGAGGGAGCUAGCGUUGUUCGGAAUUACUGGGCGUAAAGCGUGCGCAGGCGGUUUUGUAAGUCAGAUGUGAAAUCCCCGGGCUUAACCUGGGAACUGCGUUUGAAACUACAAGGCUAGAGUGUGGCAGAGGGGGGUGGAACUCUCGGUGUAGAGGUGAAAUUCGUAGAUAUCGAGAAGAACACCGGUGGCGAAGGCGGCCAUCUGGACGGUGACUGACGCUGAGACGCGAAAGCGUGGGGAGCAAACAGG
Molecule: ribosomal RNA, 253 nt
Filed under: uncultured bacterium
Lineage: Bacteria
Description: partial 16S ribosomal RNA
Rfam family: Bacterial small subunit ribosomal RNA
Source: RNAcentral